RNAcentral lists this ribosomal RNA (252 nucleotides) under uncultured bacterium. Its description in RNAcentral is "partial 16S ribosomal RNA". It matches the Rfam family "Bacterial small subunit ribosomal RNA", at positions 524 to 776 of the family's 1533-position model. The record is from RNAcentral.
UACGGAGGAUGCGAGCGUUAUCCGGAUUUAUUGGGUUUAAAGGGUGCGUAGGCGGGCUUUUAAGUCAGCGGUAAAAAUUCGGGGCUCAACCCCGUCCGGCCGUUGAAACUGGGGGCCUUGAGUGCAGGAGAGGAGAAUGGAAUUCGUGGUGUAGCGGUGAAAUGCUUAGAUAUCACGAAGAACUCCGAUUGCGAAGGCAGCUCACUGGACUGCAACUGACACUGAGGCUCGAAAGUGUGGGUAUCAAACAGG